Molecule: small nucleolar RNA, 141 nt
Filed under: Castor canadensis (American beaver)
Lineage: Eukaryota; Metazoa; Chordata; Mammalia; Rodentia; Castoridae
Description: small Cajal body-specific RNA 17 (ENSCCNG00000017923.1)
Rfam family: small Cajal body-specific RNA 17
About the family: scaRNAs are a specific class of small nuclear RNAs which localise to the Cajal bodies and guide the modification of RNA polymerase II transcribed spliceosomal RNAs U1, U2, U4, U5 and U12. The complete human U12-22/U4-8 scaRNA is composed of two tandem C/D box domains (termed U12-22 and U4-8).
Source: Rfam by way of RNAcentral
CUCCUGUGUCCCCCAUGCAGUCCCCUGUGAGCCCGCAGUAUUUUCCUUAUAUGAUCAGGCCCCGCUUGGGCGGCGCUGCUCGCCUGGAGCCUGAGAGGAUUAUAAAACGUGACAGGCGACGUGGGACCAGGGGACCCGGGG